GACGAACUGUGCGAACGUUAUUCGGAAUCACUGGGCUUACAGGGUGCGUAGGCGGCUUGUUAAGUAGGGUGUGAAAUCCCCCGGCCCAACCGGGGAAUGGCGCUCUAAACUAGCAGGCUUGAGUGAGCUAGGGGUACGCGGAACUUCCAGUGGAGCGGUGAAAUGUGUUGAUAUUGGAAGGAACACCGGAGGCGAAAGCGGUGUACUGGGGCUCAACUGACGCUGAGGCACGAAAGCCAGGGUAGCGAACGGG
This 253-nucleotide ribosomal RNA is filed under the name uncultured bacterium. RNAcentral's name for it is "partial 16S ribosomal RNA". It matches the Rfam family "Bacterial small subunit ribosomal RNA", at positions 524 to 776 of the family's 1533-position model. The record is from RNAcentral.